GAUGAACGCUAGCUACAGGCUUAACACAUGCAAGUCGAGGGGUAGCAGGGUAGCAAUACCGCUGACGACCGGCGCACGGGUGAGUAACACGUAUCCAACCUUCCCAUAACUCGGGGAUAGCCUUUCGAAAGAAAGAUUAAUACCCGAUAGUACUUAUAUAGGGCAUCCUACAUAAGUUAAAGAUUUAUUGGUUAUGGAUGGGGAUGCGUUCCAUUAGAUAGUUGGUGAGGUAACGGCUCACCAAGUCUUCGAUGGAUAGGGGUUCUGAGAGGAAGGUCCCCCACAUUGGUACUGAGACACGGACCAAACUCCUACGAGAGGCAGCAGUGAGGAAUAUUGGUCAAUGGGCGAGAGCCUGAACCAGCCAAUUAGCGUGAAGGAUGAAGGUCCUAUGGAUUGUAAACUUCUUUUAUAGUAGAAUAAAGUGUUCCACGUGUGGCUUUUUGUAUGUAUACUAUGAAUAAGGAUCGGCUAACUCCGUGCCAGCCGCCGCCGUAA
Molecule: ribosomal RNA, 498 nt
Filed under: uncultured bacterium
Lineage: Bacteria
Description: partial 16S ribosomal RNA
Rfam family: Bacterial small subunit ribosomal RNA
Source: RNAcentral